GCAUAUCAAUAAGCGGAGGAAAAGAAACCAACCGGGAUUGCCUCAGUUAACGGCGAAGUGAAGCGGCAAGAGCUUCAAAUUUGAAAUCUGGCCCCUCCGGGGUCCGAGUUGUAAUUUGCAGAGGAUGCUUCGGGUGCGGCCCCUGUCUAAGUGCCCUGGAACGGGCCGUCAGAGAGGGUGAGAAUCCCGUCUUGGGCAGGGUGCCCGUGCCCGUGUGAAGCUCCUUCGACGAGUCGAGUUGUUUGGGAAUGCAGCUCAAAAUGGGUGGUAAAUUUCAUCUAAAGCUAAAUACCGGCCGGAGACCGAUAGCGCACAAGUAGAGUGAUCGAAAGAUGAAAAGCACUUUGAAAAGAGAGUUAAACAGCACGUGAAAUUGUUGAAAGGGAAGCGCUUGCAACCAGACUCGGCCUCGGGGUUCAGCCAGCAUUCGUGCUGGUGUACUUCCCCGGGGCCGGGCCAGCGUCGGUUUGGGCGGCCGGUCAAAGGCCCCAGGAAUGUAUCGUCCUCCGGGACGUCUUAUAGCCUGGGGUGCAAUGCGGCCAGCCUGGACCGAGGAACGCGCUUCGGCACGGACGCUGGCGUAAUGGUCGCAAACGACCCGUCUUGAAACACGGACCAAGGAGUCUAACAUCUACGCGAGUGUUCGGGUGUCAAACCCGUACGCGCAGUGAAAGCGAACGGAGGUGGGAGCCCCCCCGGGGCGCACCAUCGACCGAUCCUGAUGUCUUCGGAUGGAUUUGAGUACGAGCGUAGCUGUGGGGACCCGAAAGAUGGUGAACUAUGCCUGAAUAGGGUGAAGCCAGAGGAAACUCUGGUGGAGGCUCGCAGCGGUUCUGACGUGCAAAUCGAUCGUCAAAUUUGGGGUAUAGGGGCGAAAGACUAAUCGAACCAUCUAGUAGCUGGUUCCUGCCGAA
Molecule: ribosomal RNA, 914 nt
Filed under: Aspergillus sydowii
Lineage: Eukaryota; Fungi; Ascomycota; Eurotiomycetes; Eurotiales; Aspergillaceae
Description: LSU rRNA
Rfam family: Eukaryotic large subunit ribosomal RNA
Source: RNAcentral